This 7820-nucleotide long non-coding RNA is filed under the name Lynx pardinus (Iberian lynx). The record is from RNAcentral. Lineage: Eukaryota; Metazoa; Chordata; Mammalia; Carnivora; Felidae.
GAGUCGUGGGAGCCCGGAGCCCCCGAGGCCAGCUCGGAGCCCUCUGACGCGCCGAGUCCCCAGGCUGCACUGGAGCUGGGUAAGGAGGCCCCUGGGAGUGCAGGGCCAUCCUCCGUGGGGAGGGUAGGAGGUCCCCGAUGGCCCGGGGGUGCCUGCCAUCUCUGAGGCUGCCCCACAGCAGGAGCAUUCGGCACAGGAUGUGACUCUGACACAGGGUGGAGAGUUGUGUUUUUAUUUUGUUUCACGUUUCUCCAAACCUGUGCAGGGGGCGGGAACACAGUGAACCUACGAGGGUGCCAGCUUUUCUAGCCAUUUCUUAGCAAUCGGAGAACAGGUCAAAGUGCCAUCUGAGUCCGGCAGACCCACCACCCCUGCAUAGGAGAGAGCAGUGGGGCUAUUGAGGAAAUUCAACUCAUCUUGGCGAGCAGAAGGAAAGAGGGGCUUUAAUCGUCCUCAGAUACGUGAAGCCCUUUUUUUUAAAUGAUAAAAGUCCUAUAAAUUUGUAUUUCUUUCUGAUUUGUUGUUCUUUCUGAUUUGAAGUAAUAGAAAGUCAUCUUCCUUCUUGUGGAAUCAAAAGCCUGCAUUUUGUUCCUCAGUUUCUCUGGAUCAUAUUUCUGGGAUUAUUAGAACUUGAAAGAAAACUUGAGAUGAUUUUAUUGAAGGUAGUUUUGUAGCCACAGAUAAGUCACAUUGUCAGUAUUGGAUCCUGACCUGAGUUCCCAGCCCGUCCUUUCCCUCCCCACCUUUGGGUAUUUGUCUCCGUAGAGGCCUCCCUCAUCACAGGAUGGCCAGGAGCGAUCAAACUUAGCUCUUCACAGGAGGCUGUGGGAACUGAGGAAGUAUCUGGAUUCUCAGAUUCUCCGAUUUGGGGACAUUUAGAAGUUGGUUCCAGGACCUGUUAUUUCCAGACUUGACCUUGUUUUCUUCUGGGCUCCCAUGAGUCACUGAGGUCCUCAUAGGGAGUGAUGGGCCCCAGGGAACAGGAGUGGCUUCACAGGGCUGGUUGCCUCAGGCACCUUCUCCAGCCCUGGGCCUGCCCCUCGGGAAUGCCCACCCUCCCUUGCUGGCAACUAGAAUAAACCGAUUUCAUUUUUUGUUUUAAAUUAAAAUUUCCCUUAAGUGUAUUCUUGGUUAGCUGGAAAUAGGGUGGUGUUUACACAGCCCUGUGAAUAUAUUUAAAGCCAUUUAAUUGUACGUUCAAAAAUAGUUAAAAUGGUAAGUUUUAUGUUAUGUAUAUUUUAUCACAACUAAAAAAAAAAAAAUGGCUAGCCUGGAGUUGGGAUGAAUGGGUUUGAGUCACGGUCCCUUGGGCUGGAGAAUGGAGGAGUGGCUGGCAGGAAGGCAUUGCUCGUGGCAUUAAGAGGUCCCUGGAGCCAGCAGUAGCACCCUGGCAUGGCGAGGAUCAGGCUGUUUUGGGGGCUAUACGAGCGGCAGCUGAUGUGGAGGUGACAGGCAUGUGUUUUCUCCUCAGAAACGGACUGAAUUUGAACUGAUUACACUGAAGGACUGGCCAGUCUGGGAUGCCGCCUGCCACGUGAAGGGGCUCCACCCGACUCUCCGCUGCCACAUGCUGUUCCCACGCCCGCCGCUGGGCACACACGAGAGCUUCUGGAGGCCUCGCUGCCAGCCCGGAGCCCACUGCCACCUUGGGCCCGCCACCACCAAGCGAGCCAGCCAGCGGGGAUCGCAGAGUCCUCGUCAGUUCUUCCUCCCACAAUGUAGGACCUUUCCUUUGCCUUCCAGUGGAUAAAAUAGUUCAGAUUUCAUAUUCAUAGACACAAAUCAAGUUUUUAACAUAUAAAUCUGCCUAUAUACAUUUAAUAAAACGUCAGAUUGUAAACACUUUCAUUACAUAGAAACUUUGGUUAGCAAGCAGUACAUUGCCGUCUACGUCAUCUCUGAACAUGCCCCGUGUCUCUUCUCUAGAGAUCCCUGGGGCCACGCGUCCCCUCGGCAGCGGGCCGGGGGCACCGCACACUCAGAGGCGUACCUGUGCGCUCCUCCACGAAGGCAGGGCUUUUGAAGAGGUCUCUGCCGUCAUGCCGGGCUUGCGUUGCCCUGCGGGAUGAUAAUCUGUGCAGAAGCGCCGGUCCCUGCAGUUUGUACGUGAUGGCGCGUGCUCGUCCCACCCGAAAGUCCUUACAGCCCUUCUCCUUUUUCAUGGGCGUCGGAAGCAUGGACCAGAACUUUUCGGUUCUCAGAUCACCUUAGAGAAACGUUUGUUGUCAAGCCUGAUGUACUGACCUAUGUGCCCACAUUUUUGUUUUUGUUUUUGUUUUUAAUCUAGAUGUGUUGAGAGUGAGAGGGAAAUUGAGAAAAAGGGGGCUUAAAGUGGAAGCGCGCAGCCCCGGCAGGUGGCUUUGGCCGCUGUGGUGUUCAGAGCCCUUGACCCUCACUUGCUUCAAGGCUGCCUUUGGUUGGGAAGGAAGACCUGCACUCAGCCAGUAGUCCGAGUGAGAGCUGACAGGAUCUGGGACUCCGGAGUUCUCAGAGCUGGGGUGGGCUUGCACGCGGGGGUUCCUGGCGGGACGCCCAGAGUACUCGCGGCCCUCACGCCAAGAGCCUGGCUGGGUGCUGGACAUCACCGGACGGGUGCUUGUGAGGAUUUUUCAAGUUCUGCAUUUCUGUCCCCAAAACUUGGAAACAAAAUCUUGGUCUACUUUAGCCUAAUCCUCCCAUCCGUUUUUUUUGUUUUGAGAAAAUCACAGGAAAAGGUGCUUUUGCAACACUGGGGAACUUGCUUACAGAGCUGUACUACAUGGUAAAUCCUUCUCUCCCCAAGACGGGCUGCUCUGACAGCAGCGGGUGGAGGGUGGGGCAGGCAGAAGGCCCGUCACGUGUACUUCUCACCUUCUGGGGAGCACCCGCUUCCCAAAGCACCGCGACCACAUGAGCACGCUCCUCCCGGGCCCAGGCUGGGUGAGUGGCAGGGCCUUUGGGCAAGAAACCCUGGUGGUGGGCUAGGCGUCAUCCUUCUCCCCAACCCCACGCGGGAACUGAACUGCGUGGGGCACUGUGCUGGCUUGGCUCCAAGGACUGAAGGUGGUGGUGGCGCCUUCUGCCUUCCAGGAGAGGGGCUAUCUUUGCCAACCCCAAGCCCUUGAGCCCCUGUUCUUUUAAAGUGUCUUCUCUUCUCCCGGGCCCUGUAGGGACCACCUCUUAGUUGUUAACAAGUGAGUACUUGGCAAGUUUUGCACCCCAUGUUUGUGUCCUUUCCAUCUGAGUGUGAAGCUCUUUAGCCCCAAGGGCCUGUUUCCAGAAUUGCCAAGAGUGGUGAGUGAUUCUUCCUUCAGAGAACAGACACCUGGGAUUUUUCCUUUAGUGUUUAUGUACAUGCAGAUUAAUUUAUAUAUACACAUAGAUACAGGACAAAUACUUUGAAACUUUACUCAGAAGAUGUACAUCUGAGGUGUGCACCUGAGGAAUCUAGUGGCGUGUGGGUGCCGGGGACAGUAGCCUGUGUUGAAGGCAGUGCUGGGAUCCCAGGUGCGGCUGGGGUGGCCCAGCCGGAAACCAUCAGUGUCUGAGACACCACCCUGUGGGCCCCGCUCCAAGUCCUGCACAUACUGGCCAGAGCGUUGUGUCUUUAGAGAGGGUUUUCUUGGUUAUUUAAUUUGUGUUCAUAUUUCAUUUACAACCCAAACAGCAAAACAAAAAACGAAUUACGUGGUAGACAAGUUGGUGCAGGACAUAGGGACCCCGCCUCGGCACCAGCCUGUCUUUGAAAGGUGGGAAAGCUCCGUCCGGUGCUGCCGCCUGGGCGUGUUUUCCUCACAGAUGUUCGCUCUCCCGACGCCCAGGGCCACCCCGCACAUGGCAGGACCGCCCAGGUAAGGAGCCCCGCAGACUGGAUGGUUCCUCCCCGCACUGUGCUCUUGGACCGGAUUGGGUAGUGGGGUUGGAGCCUCAGACAAUGAAAGGUGAAGGCAAGAGAGACAGGUCAGCGAGCGGGUGGCCCAGGAGAUGUUGCAGCAGGUGCACAGGGCUUUGGGCGCUUGAGGAAUACGGCUGCCCCGGCACGCGGAAGCACGCUGGCCCGGAACCGGAACUGCACCCCGUGCGUCGGGCCCCUGUCCUGCUGUGAGACAUCACUGCGGUUUUGCACACCGCCGGAGGGUGUCUGUGACGUCGCCUCCAUUAAGAAGGCAGUCUGUGGGCUGUAGAGCUGAGAGAGGUGGGACGGGGUUUCCUAAAGUGGUCGUUCCCCUCUUCUCCCGACGCACUUGGACUUGUCACGGUAGUAAAAUCUUUGGUGUUUCUUGUUGCCUGUCUUGCACGUUUGGUUUAUUAAUACUUUUACAUGGAGUUGUAGAUCCAGUUCUAAUGGGUGAAACUAGAUCAUCAUUCUGAUCAGAGAAAUCUGAAUUUAUGAUACAUACACUUUGCAUAUUAAAAAAAAUUUUUUUAAUGUUUUUUGAGAGAGAGAAACAGAGCGCAAAUUGGGACAGAGGCAGAGAGAGAGAGAGAGAGAGACAGAGAGACAGAAUCCGAAGCAGGCUCCAGGCUCUGAGCUGCCAGCACAGAGCCCAACACGGGGCUCAAACCCACGAACUGCCAGAUCAUGACCUGAGCCAAAGUUGGAUGCUUAACCAACUGAGCCACCCAGGCGCCCCUACUUUGCAUAUUUUGAUUACUUAUUUGAAUUCUUGACUAUUAAAGAGCUUUUUGAUUUGAGAGGAGCGUUCCCAUUUUCGGGAGUCGAGGGUUCCAGAGUGUUGGAUGGCCUGUUGGUGUUUGGGGUUUGGUAGCAUCACGUGACUUAGAGCUCCUGGCUUGGCCAAGCUGCGUGGGUGACCAAAGCACCAGGACCUGAAGGCCUGCUUUCCGGAAGGACAGGUGCGGGAGCUGGGCAGGGUGCUGUACUGACGGUGCCGUCCAAGCUGGCCAUGGGAGGCUGACCCACCGGGAAGUUUCUGCAGGUUUUCCAGGCUGAGUUGUGGCUCUUAUCCUGCACAGGUCCUGUGUUACCUCCCUCUCCCCUCUGGCUCUGGGACAUCUGUGCCGGGCCGCCUUCCAUGGAGGGUGGGCGUUGGCCUUUCUGGCUGGGUGCUCGCCUUGUCCACACACCCUCCUCGGCAGCCUGCCUGUGCUGCCCGCUCUCGGCCCUGUUGCCUUGUGUCUGCCUGUUCUCUUCUUGUACCGAGAUCCUUGGGUUUGAGCAGCUUUGUCAGUUUAAAUGCCACAGUCCACGUGGAUAAAGGCACUUUGUAGAAGAGAACCAGCCAAACCAAACCUGAAAUUUGGGUUUUUUCUAAUUUUCCCCCCUUUUCCUUGCUCAGAGUUUACUCAGGGCAGGUUAUUGAUUUGACCCACCUUUUGUAUUAAGUUUACAUUUUCCUUUAUCUUAUCAAUGUGGAAGGCUCAGUUGUAAGCCGGAGAAGAAAAAUCCUGUAGAUGUGCUAGGGUCCACACAGCUACUUCCAGGCCAGAGCCAGCAGCUUCCUGGGGCAGGAGGCAAACAGGGCUUGGCUCUCCUCACUACUGCCCGGGGCCGUCUCCAGGUCUCCUGACUCCACUGCUUUGCUGAGGAGCACAGGCUCGCCUAGCCUUCUUCCUGCCCAGACCUUGGGGCGCAUCUCCGUGUGGCUUGGGGACUGUCUGGCACCUGAGAAAGCAGGCAGUGGGGAGCCGAGCUUUCUUUUGAAUGGACCCCUCCCCAAGCCCGGCUUCAAUCUGAGGUAACCAUCGUGCUGUUUCUCUGGCCACUUAGAACAGCCAGGCUGUGCAACACCAGGGCUGAGAAAACUAGGCAACGUCUCAACAAAGUGACGGGUUUUGAUUUGGGCCAAGUGCCUGGGUAGAGGUGACGAUCAUGAGUGCCACCCAGGCAAGCUCUAAGUCCCACAUGGAAUGGCGAGGCCUGUGUUGUGUACCUUGGCACCGGUCGUCCCAGGAAGGCAGUUCACUGAGCCACCCAGCAUCUGUAUGUGGGGGGUGUAAAGUAAAGGGCUCAGGGCAUUUGGCCCGGGGGGUGAUCCAGGGUCUGCUUUUCUGUUCUUCAGUCCUGAGCGCACUUGUGAAGACUGGCCACUAACCUGGCCUGUCUUCACCAGACUGGAGAUCGGACAGCCCGGAUCCAGCGGGAAGCAACGAUUCUACCUGCCAAAGUCCAGAGCAGGGGCAGAAACCUGAUGCCCGGCACGGCCUAGGCAGGCACUGGUCACCCCAUGGACAAGGGUGGGAGCAAGCACCUGCUGCCUUGACUUUUAAAAACGCUCUCCUUGGUUUGCAGGACCGCCAGGAUCCACAAAGAGCAUAUGGCUACUGCUCUGCUGUCACCAGCCCCAAGGCUUUAGCAGCCCUCAGCGCCUGGCCCUUGUGGCUGCUCAGGCUGGAGCCAGAAGGAGGGUCUGCACAGCGAGCAGGGCCCUUCUGGCGGGGGCAGGGGUAGCUGCCUUCUCUUCUGCUGUCUGCUGGGGGCAGGUGGCAAGCCAGGGUACUGGAGAGGGGUCUGAGCAUCCACCUGCCGUUAGUGCCUCUUCUUCUGGAGCGUGGCCCUCCUCUAUGUGCACGUGCGUACCCCUGAGCACUUGAAUGUCGAUGAAUAGCUUUUCCUGGCUAAUGCUUUUAUAACUCUUGUUCCUUUCCACUAUAAGUGGGUGACUUAGGAGUAUUUGGAAGAAGCAUUCGGCUGGAGCCGAAGGUAAAUUGUCCAGGGUAAAGACUGUUUGGAGUCCCUGAAUAUAGAAAGCUACAAGUGCGUCUUUCCCAGGAGUCAAACCCCAGAGUAGAUACACUGGUGGAGGGUAACAAUCUACUCACGUGGUAGCUGUUCUGUCAUUUGUGUUUAAAGAGAGAGAUGGUCACUCAUCCUUGGUUCCUACCCCCACACAGUGACCUCAUUCUUGCAGUUUGCUUGAAAUGCUGGUGGGGCAGGAGUCCCAGGCUGUGUGGAGCUGGCUGGAGGGGGAGCCAGGCCGCCCUCAGUACGGACCCAGCGUGGUCCUCGGGCCAGGGGAGAAGGGGUGGCCCGUGCAGAGGCGUUCCCGCGCUGCCGCGCCAUUUAGCUGUGUCGGGAAAACCCGACUGUGCCAUAAUCGUUAUUACGAAGAAAACGCCAACCAACCUUCCCCUCUCCCCUGCUGGCCAUCGUCCAUUGAAAGUUAACUGAGCACAGUCUUUGUGGAAGUCAGGGAGGUUGCCAGAGCUGCGGGGUCCUGCCUGAGAGUGCUGAUUCCUGGUUUUCUACCAUCCAUUUACCUUCUGGUCUUCGGAGUGACCGGAGGCCCUGGGAAUGGCUGGGGUGCAGUCAGCUUUAGUGCGCCUCCCAGAGAGAUGGCUGAAAGACGUGGUCACCUUGGUGCUAAGAGACAACUGCCCUGUUUGCCCAGAGGCAAUCUGCAACUUCACCAAACUAUACAAGAGGGUCCCCUGACUGCGGUGGCCAGGGUGAGACCAAACCAAGGGGGCACACUCUGUCGGUCAGGCCUGGGUGGAAUGGGAGUUCUUUAUCCAGAGUACGUGUUUUUAACAGAAAGCCGUAACUCGCCUUCGGACAGUGGCUAUGCUGAGGUGGGGGUGGGCUGUCCUCUCUGGGCUGCCUCCAGGCCUCACGAGGUCCCCUGUGGGGAUGCUGCUAUUUCUAAGAUGCAAAUUGCACAUUUCCUAGAUUUUGUAUCUGUGGAUUUGGAGAAGGGAGGGAGCAGGGACAAACUGCGUAUACAAUUUGAUAUGGGCCGAAAUGGUACUUCAGAUCUUUUGAUUGUUCCUAAAUAAAAACAUAAAUAUGUUUCACAUCUGCUGACUUUAUUGUGUGGGGGAGCCAGAAAAACUAGAAACGUUUCACAUCUGAUUUAUUCAGUGGGCAAGCCAGAUCUUAA